UCAACGUUUUCGCAUUUCAAAAGAGGCCUUUAUAAUGAUACUGGAAACAAUAAAUUUGCCAGACGGUAGUCGUUCUACAUACAUACCUUCAAUAUUAAGAUUUGCUAUAACUAUUGAGACUUUGGGUGGCGGAGGGUACCAAUGGUUGACAGGCAACGAUUUUGGACUCGCUCUUGCACAAAGCACAUUAUCCAAAAAGUUUCGGAAACAACAAACAUUAUGGAAGCCAGCUAUGUCCCCUGUGGAUAAAAUGGAGUCUAUCUGGGGAAAACGAAAAGUCCGAAAUAAAGCAAUGGUUUUAUCAAAAAUUUUCAAUACCAGGAGUUGUAGGUUGCAUAGAUGGCACACAUUUUUAUUUACAAAGACCACGGGAAGAUGAACAAAUAUUCUUUAACAGGAAGGGAAAACACAGCGUAAAUGCAAUGGUUAUUUGUGAUCAUAAAAUGAGAAUAAUGGCAAUUAAUGUUAGAUACGGUGGAUCUGCACACGACUCAUUCGUAUGGAAACAUUCAAAUGAAAGACAAUUUUUCGAAAACACUUUUAAUGUACGAGAACAUAACUAUUGGCUUUUGGGUGAUAGUGGAUAUCCAUUAGAACCUUGGUUGCUUUCACCAUAUAGAAGCUCAUCCGAUGAAACGAAAAGUCAUUUUAAUAAUGUUCAUGCAAAAGCUAG
Molecule: long non-coding RNA, 673 nt
Organism: Eupeodes corollae
Lineage: Eukaryota; Metazoa; Arthropoda; Insecta; Diptera; Syrphidae
Exons: 4
Source: RefSeq, a predicted model, not a curated record